GAUGAACGCUAGCUACAGGCUUAACACAUGCAAGUCGAGGGGAAACGACAUCGAAAGCUUGCUUUUGAUGGGCGUCGACCGGCGCACGGGUGAGUAACGCGUAUCCAACCUGCCCAUCACUUGGGAAUAACCUUGCGAAAGUAAGACUAAUACCCAAUGAUAUCCCACGAAGGCAUCGGAAUGGGAUUAAAGAUUUAUCGGUGAUGGAUGGGGAUGCGUCUGAUUAGCUUGUUGGCGGGGUAACGGCCCACCAAGGCAACGAUCAGUAGGGGUUCUGAGAGGAAGGUCCCCCAAAUUGGAACUGAGACACGGGCCAAACUCCUACGGGAGGCAGCAGUGAGGAAUAUUGGUCAAUGGGCGAGAGCCUGAACCAGCCAAGUAGCGUGCAGGAAGACGGCCCUAUGGGUUGUAAACUGCUUUUAUAAGGGAAUAAAGUGGGUCACGUGUGACUUUUUGCAUGUACCUUAUGAAUAAGGACCGGCUAAUUCCGUG
This 492-nucleotide ribosomal RNA is filed under the name uncultured bacterium. RNAcentral describes it as "partial 16S ribosomal RNA". It matches the Rfam family "Bacterial small subunit ribosomal RNA", at positions 28 to 507 of the family's 1533-position model. The record is from RNAcentral.